GACGAACGCUGGCGGCGUGUUUAACACAUGCAAGUCGAACGGAAAGGCCUCUUUCGGGGGGUACUCGAGUGGCGAACGGGUGAGUAACACGUGAGUAACCUGCCCUUGACUUUGGGAUAACUUCAGGAAACUGGGGCUAAUACCGGAUAGGAGCUCCUGCUGCAUGGUGGGGGUUGGAAAGUUUCGGCGGUUGGGGAUGGACUCGCGGCUUAUCAGCUUGUUGGUGGGGUAGUGGCUUACCAAGGCUUUGACGGGUAGCCGGCCUGAGAGGGUGACCGGCCACAUUGGGACUGAGAUACGGCCCAGACUCCUACGGGAGGCAGCAGUGGGGAAUAUUGCACAAUGGGUGGAAGCCUGAUGCAGCAACGCCGUGUGCGGGAGGACGGCCUUCGGGUUGUAAACCGCUUUCGCUCAUGACGAAGCUUUGUGUGACGGUAGUGGGUAAAGAAGCACCGGCUAACUACGUG
Molecule: ribosomal RNA, 467 nt
Filed under: uncultured bacterium
Lineage: Bacteria
Description: partial 16S ribosomal RNA
Rfam family: Bacterial small subunit ribosomal RNA
Source: RNAcentral